RNAcentral lists this transfer RNA (31 nucleotides) under Sinosenecio ligularioides. RNAcentral describes it as "partial tRNA-Cys". The record is from RNAcentral. Lineage: Eukaryota; Viridiplantae; Streptophyta; Magnoliopsida; Asterales; Asteraceae.
UUUUUUCCCAGUUCAAAUCCGAGUGUCGCCU